CGUAGGGUGCAGGCGUUAAUCGGAAUUACUGGGCUAAAGCGUGCGCAGGCGGUUUCUUAAGUCAGAUGUGAAAGCCCCGGGCUUAACCUGGGAACUGCGUUUGAAACUGGGAGACUUGAGUGUGGCAGAGGGGGGUGGAAUUCCACGUGUAGCAGUGAAAUGCGUAGAUAUGUGGAGGAACACCGAUGGCGAAGGCAGCCCCCUGGGUUAACACUGACGCUCAUGCACGAAAGCGUGGGGAGCAAACAGGAUUAGAUACCCUGGUAGUCCACGCCCUAAACUAUGUCAACUGGUUGUCGGGGGAUUAACUCCCUUGGUAACGAAGCUAACGCGUGAAGUUGACCGCCUGGGGAGUACGGCCGCAAGGUUA
Molecule: ribosomal RNA, 370 nt
Filed under: uncultured organism
Description: bacterial SSU rRNA
Rfam family: Bacterial small subunit ribosomal RNA
Source: RNAcentral